RNAcentral lists this ribosomal RNA (465 nucleotides) under uncultured Desulfobulbus sp. RNAcentral's name for it is "bacterial SSU rRNA". It matches the Rfam family "Bacterial small subunit ribosomal RNA", at positions 925 to 1382 of the family's 1533-position model. Lineage: Bacteria; Pseudomonadati; Thermodesulfobacteriota; Desulfobulbia; Desulfobulbales; Desulfobulbaceae. The record is from RNAcentral.
ACAAGCGGUGGAGUAUGUGGUUUAAUUCGAUGCAACGCGAAGAACCUUACCUGGUCUUGACAUCCCGGAGACCCUUAGGAAACUAGGGGGUGGCUUCCAUCUGGAAGAAUCUGGAGACAGGUGCUGCAUGGCUGUCGUCAGCUCGUGUCGUGAGAUGUUGGGUUAAGUCCCGCAACGAGCGCAACCCUUGCCUUUAGUUGCCAGCAGUUCGGCUGGGCACUCUAAAGGGACUGCCGGUGUUAAACCGGAGGAAGGUGGGGAUGACGUCAAGUCCUCAUGGCCUUUAUGACCAGGGCUACACACGUACUACAAUGGCCGAUACAAAGGGCAGCGACACUGCGAGGUGAAGCCAAUCCCGUAAAAUCGGUCUCAGUUCGGAUUGAAGUCUGCAACUCGACUUCAUGAAGCUGGAAUCGCUAGUAAUCGCAGAUCAGCCAAGCUGCGGUGAAUACGUUCCCGGGCCUU